This 706-nucleotide ribosomal RNA is filed under the name uncultured bacterium. RNAcentral describes it as "bacterial SSU rRNA". It matches the Rfam family "Bacterial small subunit ribosomal RNA", at positions 771 to 1501 of the family's 1533-position model. The record is from RNAcentral.
AACAGGAUUAGAUACCCUGGUAGUCCACGCCGUAAACUAUGGAUGCUAGCUGUAAGAGGUAUCGACCCCUCUUGUAGCGAAGCUAACGCGUUAAGCAUCCCGCCUGUGGAGUACGGUCGCAAGACUAAAACAUAAAGGAAUUGACGGGGACCCGCACAAGCGGUGGAGCGUGUUGUUUAAUUCGAUGGUAAACGAAGAACCUUACCCAGGUUUGACAUCCUUGGAAUUUUGCCGAAAGGCGAGAGUGCUUUAUUGAGCCAAGUGACAGGUGUUGCAUGGCCGUCGUCAGCUCGUGUCGUGAGAUGUUUGGUUAAGUCCAUCAACGAGCGCAACCCUUAUGGUCUGUUGUAUUUCUCAGGCCAGACUGCCCUGGUAACAGGGAGGAAGGGGGGGAUGAUGUCAGGUCAGUAUUACCCUUACAUCUGGGGCUACAAACACGCUACAAUGGCCGGUACAAAGGGCUGCCAAGUCGCGAGACGGAGCAAAUCCCAUCAAAGCCGGUCCCAGUUCGGAUAAGAGGCUGAAACUCGCCUCUUUGAAGUCGGAAUCGCUAGUAACGGUAGGUCAGCUAUACUACCGUGAAUACGUUCCCGAGUCUUGUACACACCGCCCGUCAAACCAUGAAAGUCGCCAAUACCUGACGUGUGAGCUUCGCCUCGCCCUAAGGUAGGGGAGAUGAUUGGGGUUAAGUCGUAACAAGGUAACC